UCAAACUCUCAAUAAAGAAAAAUUGUUUUUCUUGUACCUGUUGAUCGGAGAGUGGGCUGAGGGAGUGGGAACUAGAAAAGUAUAUGUCGUUAUGUGGCAGUAAGAGAAAGGGUGGUAGCAUGGUGCUUAGCUGGUUGGAUUAAUUUUUUUGGGUCUGUAAAUGUGUGAGUUCUUUACGAGUUCGGGUGGAUAGCAACAGAGAUGGAAAUAUCACGAGAGACAGAGUUCAAGAUGUAAGAUUAUCAUAUUAUAUUUGUCCAAUAUCCAUUAGCUAGAUCAAUAUUGGUGUCCUUUUUUCGCUUUCUUUGUUGGUAGAUUAGUAUGAAAAAAAAAAAAUUAAUGUAUGAAGGCACCAUCAAAGAAUGGUCACCUGAUUUAGAAGAAAGACUUCAUUUUUGACUUAAGAGGGGCAAACUUAGCAAGGAAAACAAGUUUUUCAUUUGCAGAUGAGGAGAUAAAAUCCUAUGUUCACACAGAUAUACUCCAAC
Nicotiana attenuata is the source of this 488-nucleotide long non-coding RNA. RefSeq lists it as uncharacterized. The record is from RefSeq and is a predicted model, not a curated record. The transcript is spliced from 3 exons. Lineage: Eukaryota; Viridiplantae; Streptophyta; Magnoliopsida; Solanales; Solanaceae.